Molecule: long non-coding RNA, 1081 nt
Filed under: Pogona vitticeps (central bearded dragon)
Lineage: Eukaryota; Metazoa; Chordata; Lepidosauria; Squamata; Agamidae
Description: lncRNA (ENSPVIG00000005008.1)
Source: RNAcentral
CUCAUGCACAGUUAAAGAUACGCUCUCUGCAAACCUGGCUCCUCACCUUAUUCGACGCCGAGAGGGAUAGCCAAAGAAAGCGUCUAAGAGUCACACCAGAACUCGCAAGUCAACUGCAAUGGUGGACAUUCCUCCCACAUCUCUUAGUUGGCAGACCUUUCAGGCCUAUUCAACUUACCAGACAAGUCACAACAGAUGCAAGCCCAUUGGGUUGGGGAGCCCACUGCGAGGGGCAUCAGAUCAAUGCCCUAUGGUCUCCAGAGGAGUCUGCACUACACAUCAACCAUUUGGAGAUGUUGGCGGUCAUAAAGGCCGUCAGAGCUUUUCUCCCCCUGGUGAAGGGCAGAGCCAUACAAAUAGUCACAGACAAUACCACCACAAUGUUCUACGUGAACAAGCAGGGAGGCACAAGAUCAAAGUCCCUCCUGUCUCUCACUGUGCAUCUUUGGGAGUGGUGCUACCAACAGCACAUCUUUCCGGUAGCCAUCCACAUUGCGAGUGCAGACAAUCAUCUAGCGGACGACUUGAGUCGCCGCUCAACUCAAACUCGCGAAUGGGAACUGAAUCAAGAGGUCUUUCUCACACUCUGCCGGGUGUGGGGUCAGCCUCUAGUGGACAUGUUUGCGACCCACAGCAACAAGAAGUGCCUACGUUACGCUUCCCGGGCCGGAAGGGGAGAAGGCUCCCUAGGGGAUGCUUUCAUGAUUCCAUGGAACGUGGGUCUAGUCUACUUGUUUCCGCCACUGACUCUUCUCCAGAAAACUAUUGUCAGGGCUUUGCGGAUGAGGACAGAAGCAAUCCUAAUCGCUCCCUGGUGGCCACGUCGACCGUGGUUCUCCACACUGUUUCAGAGUGCCAUAGACAACAUGACAUUGCCGUUACAUCCACAUCUCCUCACUCUGAACGACAGGAAGAUUCUACAUCCGGACUUGGAAACCCUCCACUUGACAGCGUGGAGGAUUUCCCAUCAUUAAUUGAAGUCAUUGAUAAAGCUCGUAAACCAGCAACGAAGGUACUUUAUCAAUAUAAAUGGAAAAUUUUUUUGAAGUUUGCUAAGGAGCGUAACCUACAAUCGUCCCCA